AUUGAACGCUGGCGGUAUGCUUAAGACAUGCAAGUCGAACGGUAGCAGGACUAGCUUGCUAGUUGCUGACGAGUGGCGGACGGGUGAGUAACGCGUGGGAAUCUGCCCAGUAGCGGGGGAUAGCCCGGAGAAAUCCGGAUUAAUACCGCAUACGCCCUACGGGGGAAAGGCUUCGGCCACUAUUGGAUGAGCCCGCGUUAGAUUAGCUUGUUGGUGAGGUAAAGGCUCACCAAGGCGACGAUCUAUAGCUGGUCUGAGAGGAUGAUCAGCCACAUCGGGACUGAGACACGGCCCGGACUCCUACGGGAGGCAGCAGUCGGGAAUAUUGGACAAUGGGCGAAAGCCUGAUCCAGCAAUACCGCGUGUGUGAAGAAGGCCUGCGGGUUGUAAAGCACUUUCGCUAGGGAAGAUAAUGACGGUACCUAGAUAAGAAGCACCGGCUAACUCCGUGCCAGCAGCCGCGGUAAUACGGAGGGUGCAAGCGUUAAUCGGAAUUACUGGGCGUAAAGCGCGCGUAGGCGGCUUGUUAAGUCAGAUGUGAAAGCCCCGGGCUCAACCUGGGAACUGCAUCUGAUACUGGCAGGCUAGAGUUUGUGAGAGGGAAGUGGAAUUUCCGGUGUAGCGGUGAAAUGCAUAGAGAUCGGAAGGAACAUCAGUGGCGAAGGCGACUUCCUGGCACAAAACUGACGCUGAGGUGCGAAAGCGUGGGUAGCAAACAGGAUUAGGUACCCUGGUAGUCCACGCCGUAAACGAUGUCAACUAGCCGUUGGGAACAUUUAAGUUUUCAGUGGUGCAGCUAACGCAUUAAGUUGACCGCCUGGGGGAGUACGGUCGCAAGAC
Molecule: ribosomal RNA, 840 nt
Filed under: uncultured Gammaproteobacteria bacterium
Lineage: Bacteria; Pseudomonadati; Pseudomonadota; Gammaproteobacteria
Description: bacterial SSU rRNA
Rfam family: Bacterial small subunit ribosomal RNA
Source: RNAcentral